UCAAGAAACUUCCACAAUGGGCGAAAGCCUGAUGGAGCGACGUCGCGUGAUGGACGAAGUGCUUCGGCACGUAAACAUCUUUUAUGUGGGACGAAAUUAUUGACGGUACCACAUGAAUAAGGGGCUCCUAACUCUGUGCCAGCAGGAGCGGUAAUACAGAGGCCCCAAGCGUUAUCCGGAAUCACUGGGCGUAAAGGGUGUCGAGGCGGUCAUGUUAGUCGUUCGUAAAAUCCGUGGGCUCAACCUACGGCCGGCGAGCGAAACGGCAUGACUUGAGGUUUGGAGAGGUGCGUGGAACUCACGGUGUAGGGGUGAAAUCCGUUGAUAUCGUGGGGAACACCAAAGGCGAAGGCAGCGCACUGGCCAAAAUCUGACGCUCACACACGAAAGCUAGGGUAGCGAAGAGGAUUAGAUACCCCAGUAGUCCCUGAGCGGGCUGGCAAGGCGCAU
RNAcentral lists this ribosomal RNA (450 nucleotides) under uncultured bacterium. RNAcentral's name for it is "bacterial SSU rRNA". It matches the Rfam family "Bacterial small subunit ribosomal RNA", at positions 355 to 825 of the family's 1533-position model. The record is from RNAcentral.